GUUGAAGCAACGCUUAUAACUCAUUCAAGCUCCAGCUGUUGAGACUACUGUAUAUUGGUACGUACGUGCGCUUGUGAAUUUAGUAACAGAGAGAUCAUGGCUUCUGGAAUCAAGAUUUUUCUUUUGCUAGUUGUUCUGUUUGCCGUAGCUAUGGCUAAACCGAGAAAGUAUCACAGAUAUGAGAAAGAAUACGAUGCUAGGCCCAUGAUGGAUGAGGAGCUCGAGAAUGAAAAAAAUUCGGGAUGUGACCCAGACAAACCUCAUUCUGUCUGUAAGGAUGCGUGCAGCAUGUUUGACUUUGGUACUGAAAACGGGGAAUGCCCUGGAAGUGAAGUCUGCUGUAACCCAAUGUAUUACUAAGCAAGUAUGAAGUUGUGGACUGAAAUUCACGAUCGGUUGCCUUAAAGUGGAAUCUUGGAUACCGAGAUACCAAGGAAAAUAUUCAAUUUUUUUUCAAGCUUAAAUUUACAUUUUUAAUUGAUUUAGAAUAAUCCGCCUGUUUAGCGCUACAAGUAAGAUCUAGAUCCCGUUAUUUAGAUUUAACUUAGAACUUAACCUGGAGUUGACGUAAAGGCAUUUAAUAAGGAAUUAAAACUCUUGCAUCUGUAAAACGUGA
Actinia tenebrosa (Australian red waratah sea anemone) is the source of this 616-nucleotide long non-coding RNA. The record is from RefSeq and is a predicted model, not a curated record. NCBI's taxonomy places the organism in Eukaryota, Metazoa, Cnidaria, Anthozoa, Actiniaria, Actiniidae.